Molecule: ribosomal RNA, 543 nt
Filed under: Bifidobacterium breve
Lineage: Bacteria; Bacillati; Actinomycetota; Actinomycetes; Bifidobacteriales; Bifidobacteriaceae
Description: bacterial SSU rRNA
Rfam family: Bacterial small subunit ribosomal RNA
Source: RNAcentral
GGGUGGUAAUGCCGGAUGCUCCAUCACACCGCAUGGUGUGUUGGGAAAGCCUUUGCGGCAUGGGAUGGGGUCGCGUCCUAUCAGCUUGAUGGCGGGGUAACGGCCCACCAUGGCUUCGACGGGUAGCCGGCCUGAGAGGGCGACCGGCCACAUUGGGACUGAGAUACGGCCCAGACUCCUACGGGAGGCAGCAGUGGGGAAUAUUGCACAAUGGGCGCAAGCCUGAUGCAGCGACGCCGCGUGAGGGAUGGAGGCCUUCGGGUUGUAAACCUCUUUUGUUAGGGAGCAAGGCACUUUGUGUUGAGUGUACCUUUCGAAUAAGCACCGGCUAACUACGUGCCAGCAGCCGCGGUAAUACGUAGGGUGCAAGCGUUAUCCGGAAUUAUUGGGCGUAAAGGGCUCGUAGGCGGUUCGUCGCGUCCGGUGUGAAAGUCCAUCGCUUAACGGUGGAUCCGCGCCGGGUACGGGCGGGCUUGAGUGCGGUAGGGGAGACUGGAAUUCCCGGUGUAACGGUGGAAUGUGUAGAUAUCGGGAAAGAACACC